ACUGACAUCAAGUCAUCAUAUCCAUUGUGACCGACAUCCCAGCUGGCUGUGGCAUGUCGUUUCUGCAUGGCUCUCUGCUUAAACUAACUGGUUUAAGUGUUUAUUACAAAAGUUUUCAGCCGUAUUCGGCUACAACAGUUAAGUGUUGAAAUCCGGUGAUGUAUCAAGUGUUACUUGAGGUGCUGAACAAUCUAUUGACUGGCUUUUAUUCAUCCAGUUCAACAAUCAGCACUUACUUAGUUUUUGACCAGAGAGAAAGAACAGCAACGGCAAAACGAUCAGCUGAUUGUCAUUUGGCGGGAAUGCAGCAGCCCCACCUAAUCGCCCACGGUGUUCCAGGUAAUUUGUGGUUGGCUGCGCUGCGUUUGAAUGUAAUUCAAGGCAACAGAAGUUCUCUGCUCAAUUCCAGGGGCUGGUUUAAAGGCUACAACGUGGGUGGACCAUUUGACAAGACGAAUACCAUAGGAGUUGGGCAUCCGCCAUUGUCUCCUACAGAAAGCCUUGCAGUUACGUGGCCAUGUUACCAACUGCGACAUGUCUGAAUCUCAUUCACCUUAUUUGUUACCAAUAUUUUUGCCACCGCUGUUUCUUUAUAAGAUUUAAAUUCGUGCUGGAUGUUGAGCAUGAUGGAAUUACGUUUUGUUCUUGUAUUCUCCCCCCCAUGUGUUUCCUAGUAAACAAUAGCCUAUUUCUCAAAACAAAACCAGAGUCAUAGCAUGGUGUAAAAGGGGGGGGGGGAGAAUUAUAUUAUAUUUUUCCCUUUUACACCAUGGUCAUAGUCCAUUUCCAACAAAACCAGAGUCAUAGUCCAUUUCCAUGAGCCCAUGAUUUUUCUUGCCUUAACGGUGCAAGUUGGCAACGUUGCUAACGGGGCGUAUUCUAGAGCUCGAAGUCGAAAAAGGAGAUGUGUUGGAUUAUUGUGGCUCUUGUAUGUUUAUAAGGUUUUAGAUGACUUUGAUUUGGAAUUAAAUGUGUGGAUUGAAGUGGUUGGUUUUUGGAUGCUAGUUGGAUCGUGAGCGAGAAAAAGCCACGACCCGAUCGCCAUUUAAAAUUGAAACAUACGUGGGUGGCUUUGAUACGGUCUGGCUGUUGCAUCAUGGCAGACUUAUUGUUCUGUCCAAAGUUUUGUUUGCUAGCUGUUAUUCGACAAUUCUAGCCCGGCUUCUGUUUCCUACCUCUCAUUUUCCAUGUCACCCACUCACUUUAUCCACCGUUUUCUGUUUUCUCGUUGCGUUUCGACUACGAGCUGAGCUUUUCCAAUUGCUGCGAAUUUUGGUUUACUGUUUGGAUUAUUAGGAUUCGUUGCUGGAAGAAAAAGGCGCUCAGAUCAAAAACACAGAACAAAACCAUCUUGUUAGCACUUGUAGUGGAAAGCAAAGAAUUCCCGCGUGAAAUUCUGAUCAUUUAAAUGCUAUUUUGUGUUCUAUGAAUAAUCUGUGUUCUUUGGAAAUACAGAUACUCUUACAUGAUUAUAUUUUCCAAUCGAAAUGAUUAGACAGCGUUUCCAUCCGGCCAUUACAUCGCAUGUCGUCGAUUGAAGAAAGAAGGUGUGGCACCAACCAAAAAAUUUGAGAGUCGCCACAAAGAGGGAUUGAACCAAGACGUCUCGUUUGAACGGACGUCCUGGAGGCAUGUCCCUGUUUGCGUGCUCGCAUCAUCCGGAUCCGUGCCAUAACCCACAGCCACUUCAGAGAAAUCCAUUGGACGUUAUCCAUGUCGCUGAACAGCCAGUGGCAAACACUAGGGAUCAUCUUGCAACGCUACUAUAUGAAACAGGUUUUUAGUGGUUCAUUCCUGAAUAGUAUGUUUAGUACUACGGAAAAACUAAAAAAGGAUUGUAGGAGAGAUGACAGGACAGCGGUCGAUUGUAGAGGUUUCUUUUACUUCUGCUAUAGCAGUAUUAACAUUUUCUAAACUCACAAUUAGUGGGAACCUGCCGCCCGACAAUGAAUCGUCCAAGUCCAAACUGGUAAUUGUUUUCUGGAUUCGAUAGAGAAAACCUGUAAUCCCCUGGAUGUGGCUGGAAAGUUGUUGUCAUUCUGUGGUAUUGAUGGCAGGAGUGCAAAAACCAUAAACUAAUCGCCUAUUGUAAACAAAACGUCUGUCGAUGGAAAAUAGAAGAAACAAAAACA
Long non-coding RNA from Daphnia magna, 2132 nucleotides. RefSeq lists it as uncharacterized. Lineage: Eukaryota; Metazoa; Arthropoda; Branchiopoda; Diplostraca; Daphniidae. The transcript has 6 exons. The record is from RefSeq and is a predicted model, not a curated record.